This 667-nucleotide long non-coding RNA is filed under the name Fukomys damarensis (Damara mole-rat). Its description in RNAcentral is "lncRNA (ENSFDAG00000028877.1)". Lineage: Eukaryota; Metazoa; Chordata; Mammalia; Rodentia; Bathyergidae. The record is from RNAcentral.
GGCCCUGCAUGUGGGCAGUAGCCUAGUGGUGCUGCACCUGCCUGCCAAGUGCAAGGUCUAGAGUUUGAUUCCUCGUACAGAGAAAAAAAAAAAAAAAUGGCUGAAGCCCUGCACAUGGACUUCUCCCGAGAACCUGAGCAAGUUUUCACUACGAUGGCCUACAGCUGAUCUUCGCCGGAGGCGUAGGAGCGCAGCACCGCAUCCCGGGACCCGGAUGUAACAGUUCUCGCGAGUUUCCUCGAGAUUUGGACCCCAUAAAGGCUGCCUGGAGGCGGGGAAGGGCUUGCUGUCCUUGCUCUCCUCUUGGUCUUGUCUGCUUCUCCUAGGGUGUUCUUGUAACGUUGCCUUUUCUUCAGCCCACCUUCGCUCUGCAGGACCAGUUUCUCCUUCGUGCUUCGCACUGCUUUUUGCCUGCUUUAUUCGGUUCUUUACUUGGGAGGAGGAGAACCUGGAGUCCAACUCCAGAGGGAGAGGCGAACAACACAGAACUCGGUUUUCUUAUAACUUUUUCCAUUUCCCAUAUUUCUGGAGUACCUGGAACUAUGCCUCUUCUUUGGGAAGGAAAAGUAGAAAUCUGUAGGUGUGGAGAAGAGAUUGUGAAAUCACAUAAAUGGAAAUGCAUAAAUCUUAUUUCAUCAUCACUUAGUUUUGCUGUAUCUAGAACGUC